This 399-nucleotide ribosomal RNA is filed under the name uncultured bacterium. Its description in RNAcentral is "partial 16S ribosomal RNA". It matches the Rfam family "Bacterial small subunit ribosomal RNA", at positions 360 to 774 of the family's 1533-position model. The record is from RNAcentral.
AAUAUUGCGCAAUGGGGGGAACCCUGACGCAGCAACGCCGCGUGAGUGACGAUGGUUUUCGGAUCGUAAAGCUCUGUCAUCGGGGACGAAGAAGUGACGGUACCCGAGGAGGAAGCCCCGGCUAACUACGUGCCAGCAGCCGCGGUAAUACGUAGGGGGCGAGCGUUGCCCGGAAUUAUUGGGCGUAAAGCGCGCGCAGGCGGUUUCUUAAGUCUGAUGUGAAAGCCCACGGCUCAACCGUGGAGGGUCAUUGGAAACUGGGAAGCUUGAGUGCAGAAGAGGAGAGUGGAAUUCCAUGUGUAGCGGUGAAAUGCGUAGAGAUAUGGAGGAACACCAGUGGCGAAGGCGACUCUCUGGUCUGCAACUGACGCUGAGGCGCGAAAGCGUGGGGAGCGAACA